UAACCACCGAACAUUUAAGCUAGAGGGACGCUUUCAUUAAGUCUAUCCCGGGCGAUGGUUGCCCCGGGCGUAAGGGACCGAAAUUUAGUAGGGAAGUAGACGGCGUGAGAGACGAGAAAAGCUCUAGUGUAUACUAAGGUGCCCGUACCGCAAACCGACACAGGUAGAUGGGAUGAGUAUUCUAAGGCCAACGGGAGAAGGGUUGUUAAGGAACUCGGCAAAUUGGCCCCGUAACUUCGGGAUAAGGGGCGCCUGCGAGAGCAGGCCGCAGUGAAAAGGCCCAAGCGACUGUUUAGCAAAAACACAGCUCUCUGCUAAAUCGAAAGAUGACGUAUAGGGGGUGACGCCUGCCCGGUGCUGGAAGGUUAAGGGGAGUGCUUAGCAGCAAUGCGAAGGUGCGAACUUAAGCCCCAGUAAACGGCGGCCGUAACAAUAACGGUCCUAAGGUAGCGAAAUUCCUUGUCAGGUAAGUUCUGACCCGCACGAAUGGCGUAACGAUUUGGGCACUGUCUCAACAGCCCGCCCGGCGAAAUUGUAGUACCGGUGAAGAUGCCGGUUUCCCGCAACUAGACGGAAAGACCCCAUGGAGCUUCACUGUAGCUUGAUAUUGGAUCUCGGUAUUCCAUGUACAGGAUAGGUGGGAGACUUGGAAGUAAGCGCGCCAGCGUUUAUGGAGUCAACCUUGGGAUACCACUCUUGGGAUAUUGGGAUUCUAACCUGCGACCAUGAAUCUGGUCGGGGGACACUGUCAGGUGGGCAGUUUGACUGGGGCGGUCGCCUCCAAAAGAGUAACGGAGGCGCUCAAAGGUUCGUUCAGCACGGAUGGAAAUCGUGCACUGAGUGUAAACGCAUAAACGAGCCUAACUGCGAGAAUGACGGUUCGAGCAGUAACGAAAGUUGGAGUUAGUGAUCCGGCGGUAUGUGAAUGGAAAUGCCGUCGCUCAACGGAUAAAAGCUACCCUGGGGAUAACAGGCUGAUCUCCCCCAAGAGUCCACAUCGACGGGGAGGUUUGGCACCUCGAUGUCGGCUCAUCGCAUCCUGGGGCUGAAUUCGGUCCCAAGGGUUUGGCUGUUCGCCAAUUAAAGCGGUACGCGAGCUGGGUUCAGAACGUCGUGAGACAGUUCGGUCCCUAUCUGUUGCGGGCGCAGGAAUAUUGAGAGGAGCUGUCCUUAGUACGAGAGGACCGGGAUGGACGUACCGCUGGUGCACCAGUUGUUCUGCCAAGGGCAUAGCUGGGUAGCUAAGUACGGACGAGAUAAACGCUGAAGGCAUCUAAGCGUGAAACUCCCCUCGAGAUAAGUGUUCCCAUCCUUCGGGAGUAAGGCCCCUUGUAGACUACAAGGUUGAUAGGUCAGGAGUGGAAGUGCAGUAAUGUAUGGAGCGGACUGAUACUAAUAGGCCGAGGGCUUGUC
This 1413-nucleotide ribosomal RNA is filed under the name metagenome. RNAcentral's name for it is "bacterial LSU rRNA". It matches the Rfam family "Bacterial large subunit ribosomal RNA", at positions 1441 to 2925 of the family's 2925-position model. The record is from RNAcentral.